AGAGUUUGAUCCUGGCUCAGAUUGAACGCUGGCGGCAGGCCUAACACAUGCAAGUCGAACGGUAACAGGAAGCAGCUUGCUGCUUCGCUGACGAGUGGCGGACGGGUGAGUAAUGUCUGGGAAGCUGCCUGAUGGAGGGGGAUAACUACUGGAAACGGUAGCUAAUACCGCAUAAUGUCGCAAGACCAAAGAGGGGGACCUUCGGGCCUCUUGCCAUCGGAUGUGCCCAGAUGGGAUUGGCUUGUUGGUGGGGUAACGGCUCACCAAGGCGACGAUCCCUAGCUGGUCUGAGAGGAUGACCAGCCACACUGGAACUGAGACACGGUCCAGACUCCUACGGGAGGCAGCAGUGGGGAAUAUUGCACAAUGGGCGCAAGCCUGAUGCAGCCAUGCCGCGUGUAUGAAGAAGGCCUUCGGGUUGUAAAGUACUUUCAGCGGGGAGGAAGGGAGUAAAGUUAAUACCUUUGCUCAAUGACGUUACCCGCAGAAGAAGCACCGGCUAACUCCGUGCCAGCAGCCGCGGUAAUACGGAGGGUGCAAGCGUUAAUCGGAAUUACUGGGCGUAAAGCGCACGCAGGCGGUUUGUUAAGUCAGAUGUGAAAUCCCCGGGCUCAACCUGGGAACUGCAUCUGAUACUGGCCAGCUUGAGUCUCGUAGAGGGGGUAGAAUUCAAGUGUAGCGGUGAAAUGCGUAGAGAUUUGGAGGAAUACCGGUGGCGUAGCCGCUCCCUGGACGAAGACUGACGCUCAGUGCGAAGCGUGGGGGAGCAAACAGGAUUAGAUACCCUGGUAGUCCACGCCGUAAACCAAUGUCGACUUGGAAGUGGUNCNUGAGGCNGGGCUUCNNAGCUAACGCCGUUAAGUCG
RNAcentral lists this ribosomal RNA (865 nucleotides) under uncultured bacterium. RNAcentral's name for it is "bacterial SSU rRNA". It matches the Rfam family "Bacterial small subunit ribosomal RNA", at positions 8 to 867 of the family's 1533-position model. The record is from RNAcentral.